AACGAACGCUGGCGGCAGGCUUAACACAUGCAAGUCGAACGAGAUCUUCGGAUCUAGUGGCAGACGGGUGAGGAACACGUGGGAACAUCCCUUUCAGUUCGGAAUAACGUUGGGAAACUAACGCUAAUACCGGAUACGUCCUUCGGGAGAAUGAUUUAUCGCUGAAAGAUUGGCCCGCGUCCGAUUAGCUAGUUGGUGAGGUAACGGCUCACCAAGGCUACGAUCAGUAGCUGGUCUGAGAGGAUGAUCAGCCCCAUUGGGACUGAGACACGGCCCAAACUCCUACGGGAGGCAGCAGUGGGGAAUAUUGGACAAUGGGCGCAAGCCUGAUCCAGCCAUGCCGCGUGAGUGAUGAAGGCCUUCGGGUUGUAAAGCUCUUUUGUCCGGGAAGAUAAUGACUGUACCGGAAGAAUAAGCCCCGGCAAACUUCGUGCCAGCCGCCGCUGUAA
This 449-nucleotide ribosomal RNA is filed under the name uncultured bacterium. Its description in RNAcentral is "partial 16S ribosomal RNA". It matches the Rfam family "Bacterial small subunit ribosomal RNA", at positions 29 to 523 of the family's 1533-position model. The record is from RNAcentral.